Molecule: long non-coding RNA, 673 nt
Filed under: Ursus maritimus (polar bear)
Lineage: Eukaryota; Metazoa; Chordata; Mammalia; Carnivora; Ursidae
Description: lncRNA (ENSUMAG00000013939.1)
Source: RNAcentral
CUUUCUCAUGCAUGUGGGCAGUCAGCUGGUGCCAGCAGAAAGGUCUCUGGUCAGGUUGGUGAACAGCCUCUCCCCAGCUGUCAACAAGAUUCUCACCUGGCAAGUAACAUGCCCCUGAAGCCACAGCUUCUACCCUCGGAUGAUGAGCACCAAAGUACAAGCCCCCAGCAGAACCUGGGACCUGGACAGCUCCCCCAGUGUGCCACCAAAAGAGGAGAUACCAUGAGCCCAGGUUCUAGGUUGUGGAGCCUCAGGGCAGGACACAGGCAUGGAGCCUAUCCUGAACUGCAGGUAGGAGUCUAACUCUGUGACCAAGGUCCUCUUCACCUCAGGGAAUGCUAUGAGCCUCUGCCUCCUCCAAGGAUUCUGAGCUGUUCAGCUGUCCCAUCUUUCAGCCCUGCUUGUUACCUACACACUGUAUGUGACUCUGGGGUUCAGAAAUCAAACACAGGGGUGGAGAAAACAUGACUGGGAGGGAUAGUUUGUGGAAAAAGAAAUUUGGAUUGGAGAAUGUUGGUCAAGAAAAUCACUCAUUAAGUGUUCACUGAUUGUCUAUGCAGGGGAGGAAAUCAUUUUUUCUAUGUCUUUCAAGAUUUUUCUAGCUGGACUAAGAAUUAAAUUGACAUGAAACAGAUUAAUAGGAGAAAAUCAAAUUUAAUUUCAUACAUAUGGG